GUGAUCGGCCACAUUGGAACUGAGACACGGUCCAAACUGCCUACGGGAGGCAGGCAGUGGGGAAGUAUUGCACAAUGGGCGAAAGGCCGUGAUGCAGCAAACGCCGCGUGAGUGAUGAAGGCCUUCGGGUCGUAAAACUCAUGUCCUCAAGGAAGGAUAAUGACGGUACUUGAGGAGGAAGCCCCGGCUAACUACGUGCCAGCAGCCGCGGUAAUACGUAGGGGGCUAGCGUUAUCCGGAUUACUGGGCGUAAGGGUGCGUAGGCGGUCUUUCAAGUCAGGAAGUGAAAGGGCUACGGGCUCAACCGUAGUAAGCUCUUGAAACUGGGAGACUUGAGUGCAGGAGAGGAGAGUGGAAUUCCUAGUGUAGCGGUGAAAUGCGUAGAUAUUAGGAGGAACACCAGUUGCGAAGGCGGCUCUCUGGACUGUAACUGACGCUGAGGCACGAAAGCGUGGGGAGCAAACAGGAUUAGAUACCCUGGUAGUCCACGCUGUAAACGAUGAGUACUAGGUGUCGGGGGUUUACCCCCCUCGGUGCCCGCAGCCUAACGCAUUAAGUACUCCGCCCUGGGGAAGUACGCUCGCAAGAGUGAAACUCAAAAGGA
Molecule: ribosomal RNA, 604 nt
Filed under: Clostridioides difficile
Lineage: Bacteria; Bacillati; Bacillota; Clostridia; Peptostreptococcales; Peptostreptococcaceae
Description: bacterial SSU rRNA
Rfam family: Bacterial small subunit ribosomal RNA
Source: RNAcentral